ACACAUGCAAGUCGGACGGCAGCACAGAGAAGCUUGCUUCUUGGGUGGCGAGUGGCGAACGGGUGAGUAACAUAUCGGUACGUACCGAGUAAUGGGGGAUAACUAAUCGAAAGAUUAGCUAAUACCGCAUAUUCUCUGAGGAGGAAAGCAGGGGACCUUCGGGCCUUGCGUUAUUCGAGCGGCCGAUAUCUGAUUAGCUAGUUGGUGGGGUAAAGGCCUACCAAGGCGACGAUCAGUAGCGGGUCUGAGAGGAUGAUCCGCCACACUGGGACUGAGACACGGCCCAGACUCCUACGGGAGGCAGCAGUGGGGAAUUUUGGACAAUGGGCGCAAGCCUGAUCCAGCCAUGCCGCGUGUCUGAAGAAGGCCUUCGGGUUGUAAAGGACUUUUGUCAGGGAAGAAAAGGACAGGGUUAAUACCCCUGUCUGAUGACGGUACCUGAAGAAUAAGCACCGGCUAACUACGUGCCAGCAGCCGCGGUAAUACGUAGGGUGCGAGCGUUAAUCGGAAUUACUGGGCGUAAAGCGAGCGCAGACGGUUACUUAAGCAGGAUGUGAAAUCCCCGGGCUCAACCUGGGAACUGCGUUCUGAACUGGGUGACUAGAGUGUGUCAGAGGGAGGUAGAAUUCCACGUGUAGCAGUGAAAUGCGUAGAGAUGUGGAGGAAUACCGAUGGCGAAGGCAGCCUCCUGGGAUAACACUGACGUUCAUGCUCGAAAGCGUGGGUAGCAAACAGGAUUAGAUACCCUGGUAGUCCACGCCCUAAACGAUGUCAAUUAGCUGUUGGGCAACUUGAUUGCUUAGUAGCGUAGC
RNAcentral lists this ribosomal RNA (812 nucleotides) under uncultured Neisseria sp. RNAcentral's name for it is "bacterial SSU rRNA". It matches the Rfam family "Bacterial small subunit ribosomal RNA", at positions 51 to 852 of the family's 1533-position model. Lineage: Bacteria; Pseudomonadati; Pseudomonadota; Betaproteobacteria; Neisseriales; Neisseriaceae. The record is from RNAcentral.